RNAcentral lists this ribosomal RNA (441 nucleotides) under uncultured bacterium. RNAcentral's name for it is "partial 16S ribosomal RNA". It matches the Rfam family "Bacterial small subunit ribosomal RNA", at positions 338 to 795 of the family's 1533-position model. The record is from RNAcentral.
CCUACGGGAGGCAGCAGUGGGGAAUAUUGCACAAUGGGGGAAACCCUGAUGCAGCAACGCCGCGUGAAGGAAGACGGUUUUCGGAUUGUAAACCUCUGUUCUUAGUGAAGAAUAAUGACGGUAGCUAAGGAGCAAGCCACGGCUAACUACGUGCCAGCAGCCGCGGUACUACGUAGGGGGCAAGCGUUAUCCGGAUUUACUGGGUGUAAAGGGAGCGCAGGCGGCUUGGCAAGUCAGAUGUGAAAACUCGGGGCCAAACCCCGGGAGUGCAUUUGAAACUGCCAUGCUGGAGUGCCGGAGAGGUAAGCGGAAUUCGUGGUGUAGCGGUGAAAUGCGUAGAUAUUAGGAGGAACACCAGUGGCGGAGGCAGCUUACUGGACGGUAACUGACGCUGAGGCUCGAAAGCGUGGGGAGCAAACAGGAUUAGAUACCCUGGUAGUC